Molecule: ribosomal RNA, 613 nt
Filed under: uncultured archaeon
Lineage: Archaea
Description: bacterial SSU rRNA
Rfam family: Archaeal small subunit ribosomal RNA
Source: RNAcentral
UACCCUAUAGACUAUGGAUGCUGGAAUGCUUUGUAGUCGAAAGGUGAGCCGCCGUAGGAUGGGUCUGCGGCCGAUUAGGUUGUUGUUGGGGUAACGGCCCAACAAGCCUGUAAUCGGUACGGGUUGUGGGAGCAAGAGCCCGGAGAUGGAUUCUGAGACACGAAUCCAGGCCCUACGGGGCGCAGCAGGCGCGAAAACUUUACAAUGCGGGAAACCGUGAUAAGGGAACUCCGAGUGCCCGUAAAAUCGGGCUGUCCAUUUGUUUAAAAAACAAGUGAAGAAAGGGCCGGGCAAGACCGGUGCCAGCCGCCGCGGUAAUACCGGCGGCUCGAGUGGUGGCCACUAUUACUGGGCUUAAAGCGUUCGUAGCUGGUUUGUUAAGUCUUUGGGGAAAUCUUCCGGCUUAACCGGAAGGCGUCUCAGGGAUACUGGCAGACUAGGGACCGGGAGAGGUGAGGGGUACUUCAGGGGUAGGAGUGAAAUCCUGUAAUCCUUGAGGGACCACCUGUGGCGAAGGCGCCUCACCAGAACGGCUCCGACAGUGAGGGACGAAAGCUGGGGGAGCAAACCGGAUUAGAUACCCGGGUAGUCCCAGCUGUAAACGAUGCGCGUU